GGGCUAUUAGCUCAAUGGUAGAGCAGGUCCCUCUUAAGGACAAGGUUAUAGGUUCGAGUCCUAUAUAGCCCA
This 72-nucleotide transfer RNA is filed under the name Elusimicrobiota bacterium. Its description in RNAcentral is "Elusimicrobia bacterium (groundwater metagenome) tRNA-Lys". It matches the Rfam family "tRNA". From Rfam's summary of the family: Transfer RNA (tRNA) molecules are approximately 80 nucleotides in length. Their secondary structure includes four short double-helical elements and three loops (D, anti-codon, and T loops). Further hydrogen bonds mediate the characteristic L-shaped molecular structure. tRNAs have two regions of fundamental functional importance: the anti-codon, which is responsible for specific mRNA codon recognition, and the 3' end, to which the tRNAs corresponding amino acid is attached (by aminoacyl-tRNA synthetases). tRNAs cope with the degeneracy of the genetic code in two manners: having more than one tRNA (with a specific anti-codon) for a particular amino acid; and 'wobble' base-pairing, i.e. permitting non-standard base-pairing at the 3rd anti-codon position. Lineage: Bacteria; Pseudomonadati; Elusimicrobiota. The record is from RNAcentral.